RNAcentral lists this ribosomal RNA (452 nucleotides) under uncultured soil bacterium. Its description in RNAcentral is "bacterial SSU rRNA". It matches the Rfam family "Bacterial small subunit ribosomal RNA", at positions 26 to 459 of the family's 1533-position model. The record is from RNAcentral.
AGAUUGAACGCUGGCGGCAGGCCUAACACAUGCAAGUCGAGCGGCAGCACGGGUACUUGUACCUGGUGGCGAGCGGCGGACGGGUGAGUAAUGCCUAGGAAUCUGCCUGAUAGUGGGGGAUAACGCUCGGAAACGGACGCUAAUACCGCAUACGUCCUACGGGAGAAAGCAGGGGACCUUCGGGCCUUGCGCUAUCAGAUGAGCCUAGGUCGGAUUAGCUAGUUGGUGAGGUAAUGGCUCACCGAAGGCGACGAUCCGUAACGUGGUCUGAGAGGAUGAUCAGUCACACGUGAACUGAGACACGGUACCAGACCUCCGUACGGGAGCAGCAGGUAGGGGAAUAGUUAGGAACAAGUGGGACGAAAGCCUAGAUCCGAGCCAGUCGCCGUCGUGUGUGAAAGGUAGUCGUUCGAAUUAGUAAAGCUUAACGUUUUUAAGGUAGGGAAGGUAAA